Long non-coding RNA from Capsicum annuum, 300 nucleotides. RefSeq lists it as uncharacterized. The transcript has 2 exons. NCBI's taxonomy places the organism in Eukaryota, Viridiplantae, Streptophyta, Magnoliopsida, Solanales, Solanaceae. The record is from RefSeq and is a predicted model, not a curated record.
AUCACAACAGGAUGGCUUCAUCCAACCAUCAAUCAAUAUGUGCUACUCACUGACUCCUCUUUUCUAACGCGCUCUGAUUCUCUUAUAUCCCGACUGUUCUUUAAUCAUCACGAGACUUAUUUUUCUCUUUUUUUCAUGUAUAUAGGACUUGGAACCUCAGGUUACAAUUGACACCGUUCCAAAUGUGAAGAAACAACAUGAAGUGAACGUCGGUAUCUCCAACUCGUUCGGAUUCGGAGGGCAUAACUCAGUGGUUGUUUUUGCACCCUACAAACCUUGAACAAAAGCUCAUAAUUUCUU